GGCGAUGUAGCUAAGCCUGGUUAUAGCGUUACGCUCAUAACGUAAAGGUCGCGUGUUCAAAUCACGCCAUCGCCA
Molecule: transfer RNA, 75 nt
Filed under: Candidatus Woesearchaeota archaeon
Lineage: Archaea; Nanobdellati; Candidatus Woesearchaeota
Description: tRNA-Met
Rfam family: tRNA
About the family: Transfer RNA (tRNA) molecules are approximately 80 nucleotides in length. Their secondary structure includes four short double-helical elements and three loops (D, anti-codon, and T loops). Further hydrogen bonds mediate the characteristic L-shaped molecular structure. tRNAs have two regions of fundamental functional importance: the anti-codon, which is responsible for specific mRNA codon recognition, and the 3' end, to which the tRNAs corresponding amino acid is attached (by aminoacyl-tRNA synthetases). tRNAs cope with the degeneracy of the genetic code in two manners: having more than one tRNA (with a specific anti-codon) for a particular amino acid; and 'wobble' base-pairing, i.e. permitting non-standard base-pairing at the 3rd anti-codon position.
Source: RNAcentral